UGGCACCCGAACAGGGACCUGGAAACGAGGGACUCCGUGAGGAAGAGGACGCCAAAGGACGGUCAACCGCUAACGAAGACAAAAGAAAGUGAACUCUUCCGAUCACCGCGGGAACCUGCCGCGUCAGAAUCGAAGGUAAGUGACGCGUCCGAAAUGGGACAAGAAUUAAGCCAACAUCAGAUCUAUGUAGGACAAUUAAAAGAGGCUUUAAAGAUACGNNNNNNNNNNUGCCAUUAAAAGAGACUUGAUCAGAGCACUGUCUUGUCUCCAUUUCUCGUGUCUCU
Chlorocebus sabaeus (green monkey) is the source of this 284-nucleotide regulatory RNA element. It matches the Rfam family "Mason-Pfizer monkey virus packaging signal". Rfam says of the family: The packaging signal is located in the 5' UTR and is required for specific RNA encapsidation. NCBI's taxonomy places the organism in Eukaryota, Metazoa, Chordata, Mammalia, Primates, Cercopithecidae. The record is from Rfam.